This 261-nucleotide ribosomal RNA is filed under the name Triticum aestivum (bread wheat). RNAcentral describes it as "partial small subunit ribosomal RNA". The record is from RNAcentral. Lineage: Eukaryota; Viridiplantae; Streptophyta; Magnoliopsida; Poales; Poaceae.
CUGAAGAUCAAGAUUUUUGUGUGGCAGCUUCUCAGAGAUCGUUUACCUUCAAGGACCGAGCUGCUGAAACGCCAUGGUCCGGGCAAUGGCCUUUGCCCCCUUUGCCUCGUCUCGGAAACGGGAACACACAUUUUGUUCUCGUGUGUAGCAGCACAUGCACUUUGGUGCUUUGUUCGUGAGGCUCUCGGACCGGAGUGGGAGGCCCAUGACCUUGCAGAGUUUCUGCAGGUAAGGGCCACUCAGGUUGGCCGUAAGCGCUGA